CCCACCUAGACAGAUCAUGGCUGGAAUUCUUACACAGUCAUUACACAGCACCAUUUAUCUUGCUUAGUGUCUCGCAGGAAUGGAGAGGACGCAGACAUUGACAGACUGCAGGAGAUUUAUUACCUUGGCCACUGAGGAGGGGAGUAAAGAACAAACACAACGCUUUUCAUCUCACUGUGACAGAGUGGCAGGGGAAGAAGUAAAACAUGGUCAAUACACUCCUGGGAAUACAUGGCUGCUGGUUUACUAAGAGGAAUGAGAAUGCCUGGGAACAGAUUACUGGAGGUGCUCAACUACAGUGACAGUGCUAUGCCUGUGGAAUGCAGCUUGCACGCAUGAGAUGUCUGGCACUGGUUUCACAACACUGCUCAGAUGUUCCAUGAAUCACCACUGGUGUGUGGGCAAUGGCUGAAAAACACUGCACCAGAAAACUGUCUACACUCUGAAUUAACGCUUACUAGAGGCAAUGAAAACAUAUGUACUGAUUUAAACGUGAUGUGGAUCACACCUGCUGUGGACAUACAGAUAGACCCAAUAUAAUAUACCAUAGAACUGGAAAUUAUGUCAUCCUCUUUGUGUAAGUUGCACUACUAAAUUGGAAAAUGGAGGCUUGCCCAAAUACCACACAAGCAGAGCAUACUCUUUGGAGUAUGAAGACUUUCAACCCAUUAGCUCUGCUGGACCAGACUAGCACCUUACCUUGGAACCAAGCCUAUUUGAUGUAAGAAAUCAACUGUCUUUC
Long non-coding RNA from Gallus gallus (chicken), 742 nucleotides. RefSeq lists it as uncharacterized. The record is from RefSeq and is a predicted model, not a curated record. Lineage: Eukaryota; Metazoa; Chordata; Aves; Galliformes; Phasianidae. The transcript has 3 exons.